This 665-nucleotide ribosomal RNA is filed under the name uncultured Bacteroidales bacterium. RNAcentral describes it as "bacterial SSU rRNA". It matches the Rfam family "Bacterial small subunit ribosomal RNA", at positions 51 to 706 of the family's 1533-position model. The record is from RNAcentral. Lineage: Bacteria; Pseudomonadati; Bacteroidota; Bacteroidia; Bacteroidales.
ACACAUGCAAGUCGAGGGGCAUCAGGAAGAAAGCUUGCUUUCUUUGCUGGCGACCGGCGCACGGGUGAGUAACACGUAUCCAACCUGCCCUUUACUCGGGGAUAGCCUUUCGAAAGAAAGAUUAAUACCCGAUGGCAUAAUGAUUCCGCAUGGUUUCAUUAUUAAAGGAUUCCGGUAAAGGAUGGGGAUGCGUUCCAUUAGGUUGUUGGUGAGGUAACGGCUCACCAAGCCUUCGAUGGAUAGGGGUUCUGAGAGGAAGGUCCCCCACAUUGGAACUGAGACACGGUCCAAACUCCUACGGGAGGCAGCAGUGAGGAAUAUUGGUCAAUGGGCGCUAGCCUGAACCAGCCAAGUAGCGUGAAGGAUGAAGGCUCUAUGGGUCGUAAACUUCUUUUAUAUAAGAAUAAAGUGCAGUAUGUAUACUGUUUUGUAUGUAUUAUACGAAUAAGGAUCGGCUAACUCCGUGCCAGCAGCCGCGGUAAUACGGAGGAUCCGAGCGUUAUCCGGAUUUAUUGGGUUUAAAGGGAGCGUAGGUGGACUGGUAAGUCAGUUGUGAAAGUUUGCGGCUCAACCGUAAAAUUGCAGUUGAUACUGUCAGUCUUGAGUACAGUAGAGGUGGGCGGAAUUCGUGGUGUAGCGGUGAAAUGCUUAGAUAUCACGAAGAA